This 462-nucleotide ribosomal RNA is filed under the name uncultured bacterium. RNAcentral describes it as "bacterial SSU rRNA". It matches the Rfam family "Bacterial small subunit ribosomal RNA", at positions 29 to 524 of the family's 1533-position model. The record is from RNAcentral.
AACAAACGCUGGCGGUGCGUUUUAAGCAUGCAAGUCGAACGGUAACAGGCCUUCGGGUGCUGACGAGUGGCGGACGGGUGAGUAACACGUAGGAAACUACCUUUAAGACUGGGACAACCUGGAGAAAUUCAGGCUAAUACCGGAUAUGCUAUACGUAGUAAAGGGGCAACCCGCUUAGAGAUGUGCCUGCGGCUGAUUAGCUAGUUGGUAGGGUAAAGGCUUACCAAGGCGACGAUCAGUAGCCGACUUGAGAGAGUGUACGGUCACACCGGAACUGAGACACGGUCCGGACUCCUACGGGAGGCAGCAGCUAAGAAUCUUCCGCAAUGGGCGAAAGCCUGACGGAGCGACACCGCGUGAUUGAUGAAUGUCGAGAGAUUGUAAAGAUCUUUUCCUAGUGAGGAUAAUGACGUUAACUAGGGAAUAAGCCCUGGCUAAUUACGUGCCAGCCGCCGCGGUAAU